This 254-nucleotide ribosomal RNA is filed under the name uncultured bacterium. RNAcentral describes it as "partial 16S ribosomal RNA". It matches the Rfam family "Bacterial small subunit ribosomal RNA", at positions 524 to 776 of the family's 1533-position model. The record is from RNAcentral.
UACAGAGGUCCCCAAGCGUUGUUCGGAUUCACUGGGCGUAAAGGGUGCGUAGGCGGUCGGGUAAGUCUGACGUGAAAUCUCCAAGCUCAACUUGGAAAUGGCGUCGGAUACUAUUCGGCUGGAGGAAUGGAGGGGAGACUGGAAUUCUCGGUGUAGCAGUGAAAUGCGUAGAUAUCGAGAGGAACACCAGUGGCGAAGGCGAGUCUCUGGACAUUUCCUGACGCUGAGGCACGAAAGCCAGGGGAGCAAACGGG